AUGAAGAUCCUGCGGCACGGAGCGAGACCUAUGAGCCCACCGCCCCCUUCCAGCCCCGCGCUGGCGCCGGCAGCCACGGCCCCCUCCGCCGUCCAUGCCGGCCAACCUGCCGCCUCCUGGUUCAUGCCCCUCCCGCCCCCUCCUCCCGAGCUGCCGGCCGCUGGCUCGGCGCGCCCCGCUUCUCUGCCGCGGCCAACAGGUGGAUCGUGGGCGGAUCUGGUGUCGCCGCCGUCCCAUGGUCGCGGUGCUGGGACCGCGACGGACUCGGAGUUCGUCCCUGGGUCGCCCAUAGGUGCCGGUCUGCGGGGGUCUGGUUCGGUCGCUCCAUCAACUCGAGCUGCGGCUGGAUCAGCGCGAGCUGCGUCUGGAUCGGGCAUUCACUGCGAGGUGGGUGACGGAAAUAACUGCGCCGCGGCGGGAGCGCGCUCCAGCCCAUCUCCACCAACGGCCUGCUCUUCAAUGCCGGCGACAAGCGCGGGGCGCGAGGCGGAUGUGACCGGAGCCUGGCAUCUCGUCAAAUCGCGGCGAGGCCCGCGCCGCCCGGCUUUGCCUGCCCAGGCAUUCACGUCGUCCCCCAUCCCGUGGUGGCUUAAAGGGCGUUGCUGCCGCUGCCUUGCUCCUGGACACCGCGCCUCAGCUUGCCGUGAGCCAUUUCGGUGCUCUCACUGCCUGCAAAAUGGCCACCGGGCUCGCGGUUGCAAGAAUACGUGGCGUCCAUUAAGCUCCCUGUCGUGCCUCGCCUUCAUCCCUCCGCCGCCACUUCCCCGACCAGCUGCCGCUGCCGUUCAAGAUACCGUUUCCGUCUUCGGCCCGGGAAGGGGCUGGCCUCUCCUCCAACCCCCUCCGCAGCUGCUGCUAGGCGACACCAACCCCGUCAUGUCAAGGCUGGGUGACGCGGCCAACCGGCCGGAGGAAGACUUCGUCGUGGUCCCUGCCACGCCGGAGAUGCAGGCGGAGUCGGCGCUGCUCUCCACCAACGCUGCCGUGGCCUGGUUUGAAGGGCCCCGUGAGGAUGUCCCUUGCCACACCGUGGCCGCUGCGUUCGCCGCCACCUUCGGCUUCCGGCCGGCGGACGUGAGUGUUGUGCGGCACUUCCCCGAGCAGUACCUCGUCAAGUUCAUGUACCAGCACAAUUGCGCGGACGCCGUCAACCGUGGCGACUUCCUCGUCGGCAACUCCUCUCUCUUCGUCCGCGCCUGGAGGCUCAAGGCGCACGCUGACAAUGAAGACAUGAUGCACCACGUCCGUUUGUGCAUCGAGGGGAUCCCGGUCCAUGCUUGGAAUGAGUACAUCGCUGCGUUCGUCAUCGGCCGUCGGUGCUCCCUCGACUACAUCGAGCAGCGGUCUCUGCGCCGGGAGGACACGCGUGACCUGUCGCUCUGGGCGUGGACGUUCGACCCCAACGCCAUUCCUAAGGUGAAGUGGCUCACGCUGCCCGCCCGCGGCCUUCGACGCCGCGGCCGGCAUGGCCUGAGACACCGUGUGCUGCUGCACCUGGACCUGCUCGAGGACCACUCUAAGGCGCGGGACGACGAUGACGACCCACCACCUCCUGACCUCUACGAGUACACCUGGUUCCGCCGUACAGUGGACGGCACGGUGCGGCGGGGAGACAGGCAUGCUGGUCAUCCCAGCGACGUCCAGCGCCCGGCGCGGCGCGACGACGACGACGACCGCGGCGGCCGCCGCGGGCGUGAUGGCCCGCGCGCACAGGGCGGUUGGCGCGACCGCAUCCGUCGCUCCCUGACCAGGGGCGCCCGUGACCGUCAGCGGCAAGAUGGCCAGGAGAGGUCCCGUGAUCGCUCGAGCGGCACGGGCGGGAGGCGCCAUGGCGCUGAAGCUGUGGCCGCCCUGGGUGACGCUGCGCCGGCCGCGCCACCCUUGGUCCUGAUGGGCUCUGGCUCCGCUAGUGACGAAGGGGCAGGCGCCUUGGAGCUACAGCCGGUGCGUGGCCACAGCCCGGCACGCCAAGGCUCGCCGCGGGCUGCACGCAGACGCUCCCAGGAGAGUCUUACGCCACCGGUCUCGCCGCCGCUUUCCCUCACGUCGGUGCUGCCUCGACUUGCUUGCUCCAGGAGGGACGAGGCUCGGGCAGUGACAGCACCUCUGGCGGUCCCGUCCCCGACGGUGUUGCAGCUGUGCUCACCAACGCAUCUGCUCCCUCCUCUGUCGCCGGUGAAGCCCCCUGGGUUCGAGGCUUCGCCCACCCCCCCGCUCAUCUCCAAUGGGCCGCUUCAGCGCACACCAUCCCCGGUGCGGCUCCGCAGGGCUGCUGCUGAUCUGCAGCCAGCUGGGGUUGGCCUGACCGUGCUCUUUGAAGAUCGGCAGGAGCCCUUGCUGCCCUCCCCUGCAUCAACGCCUCCCGGGCCUCCUGCUGCGCGUCGUAAGACUCUUGCUGGAGUGAACAUUGCCCGAACAAGUGCGGGCCUCUCGCUGCACAGGACCAGUGCAAGGCUCAAAGCUGCUGGCAGAGCAAGGGUGGUGCCGGCGCCAGCGGCUAAGGCGGCUGAGAUCCUGGUUGCUCGUAGUCUGGGGAUCAUUAAGGAUGGAGAAGACAUCACGGCCAAGGCCCUGGAUGCAUUUACUGAGCGUUUCAAGGAGCAGUUGCCGCUGGAGGUGAUAUCUGCCAUGCGAGACUUGUUCAGGUUAGAUGAUGUGCAGGCAAUGGAUGUGGAGGACGCCCUCAUCUAG
This 2691-nucleotide ribosomal RNA is filed under the name Triticum aestivum (bread wheat). RNAcentral describes it as "partial small subunit ribosomal RNA". The record is from RNAcentral. Lineage: Eukaryota; Viridiplantae; Streptophyta; Magnoliopsida; Poales; Poaceae.